Molecule: RNA transcript, 4739 nt
Organism: Solanum dulcamara
Lineage: Eukaryota; Viridiplantae; Streptophyta; Magnoliopsida; Solanales; Solanaceae
Gene name: DNA mismatch repair protein MLH3-like
Exons: 12
Source: RefSeq, a predicted model, not a curated record
CAAAAUACUGCCAUUCAGAUGAUAUGCAUGCUUGCCCAGCAAGCUUUGGCCUUAAAGGAGAGGCUCUGAGCUCUAUUUCUGACGUUUCUUUGUUGGAAGUUGUUACUAAAACUCACGAGAGGCCAAGUGGAUAUCGUAAGGUUUUUAAGUGUUUGUACCUUGGAAUUGAUGUUUGUAGACAAAAUGUUGGUAUAACAGCCCAAAGAGGGUCUUGCAUUCUAUGAAAGAGUCCCUGCUAAGAUCACCCCUGUGCAUCCGAAUGUCUCCUACAAUUUUGUUGAUAUUGAAAGGACGUGCUUCUCCUUCUCUGUUGCCGCUAUGGUCCAGUGGGUUUGGGAUUCAUCUGAGUUCCCUAAACAAAUUGAAUGCAAGCGAUGGGUUCAUUCAAGCCUUCAGGAUACAUCUCAGGUCCUAUCUCAGGUCCUGAUGUUUACACGGUGAAGGUAUACAAGCCUAAAUUGAUGGAUAAGAGAUGUGAUAGGUUAUCUAUAAGGUCUUUGUUUCCCUAACAACCACUGUUUAAUUUGUAGGUCCUUCAAUAUUUCUGUAUCCACUUAUUUCAGUAUAUUUUCCUCUCCAAAGAAAAACGGAAAACUAAACUUUGGUUAACAUUUGAUGCCUGUUUUGUAUGGUGCAGAUAUCAAUUCAAGAUUUGUUUCCAAAGGACCAAUACAUAAAUUUCUUAAUAACAUAGCUAUGAGUUUUGACAGUGCUUCUGACAUUGAGAAGCGAAGUAGAUCUCAGAUAUAUCCACUAUUAUUUGUUGAACCUAAACUGUCCUAGAUUUUUAUAUGAAUUGACUUUGGAGCCUUCAAAGACCUCUAUGGCUUUAAAGAGGCGAUGAUGAUUUGUGCCAAUUUUAUUCCCUUCUGAGCUGAUUAUUCGGGCAUUUGAGGUUAUCCGACCAGUAUCUUGGCGGGGCAUGCCACCAGAUUUUCUGGUGAUUUUUGCAGUCAUGGGAUUGUUGGACUCUCUUUUUGCCUGAGCUUAACACAGAUCUGAGCCUAACUUUCUCUUUCAGUUUAGGGAAACUAAUGGCUGGAAAAUUGAUUUAGGGUUUUGAUCGGACAUUGUCAAUGGGACAGUUAAUCAGGUGGAGUAAUCUAAGAUGCGCCGGUAGCGUAUGAAGUUGGGGAAAACAAAUUCUUGAAUAUCCUUAACAUACACUGCGAGGAUGACAACAUAACUUACUUAUUUUAAAAUAUGCAUUUGAGAAUACUAAUGUAACUUCAAAAAGCCAACAGUUCUUGAAUUUUCAUGGAUGGAAAAAUAUCAAGAUAAUGGGAAGAGCAGCAAAAUACCUACAAGUUCUUAAGAACUUUUCUUAAAAAAUCAACAUGCAAUAUCGAGUUUCAUGGAUGGAAAAAUAUCAAGAUAAUGGGAAGAGCCCUUCCCCGGACCCUGCGCAUAGCGGGAGCUUAAGUGCACCGGGCUGCCCUUUUUUUAAUGGGAAGAGCAACAGAAUACCUACAAGUUCUUAAGAACUUUUCUUAAAAAAUCAACAUGCAAUAUCGAGUUCUUGAAUUUUCCUUCUUCUUUUUAGUAGAAGGAAGAAUAUCAAGAUAAUGGGAAGUUGAUCUUUUAUACCCGAUAACUGAUGUGCAUGCUUUCCUAGCAAGCUUUGGCUUUAAAGGAGAGGCUCUGAGCUCUAUUUCUGACGUUUCUUUUUGGAAAUUCAAACUCAUGGAAGGCCAAAUGGAUAUCGUAAGGUUUUGAAGGAUGACAAGUGUUUGUACCUUGGAAUUGAUGACGGUAGAGAAGAUGUUGGUACAACAGAUUUUGUUCAGUUGCAGGCAGUGAGGAUGACCUGCUUUGCACACGUGCUUUUCCUUCUCCUUGCCGCUGUUGUCCAGUGGGUUUGGGAUUCAUCUGAGUUCCCUUAAUAAAUUGAAUGCAAGCGUUGGUGCAUUCAAGCUUUAAGGAUACAUCUCAGGUCCUGAUGUUUACACAGUGAAGGUAUACUUGCCCAAAUUGAUGGAUAAAGAGAUGUGAUAAGUCAUCUGUGAUAAGCUCUUUGAUGCUUCUGCUGGAGCAUUGGAUGUUUCCGGGGGAGCUUUGGGGAGCUGAAAGCGGUGUUGGUGAGUAUAAUCGGUGGCUUUAAAGAGGCGAUGAUGAUUUUUGCCAAUUUUAUUCCCUUCUGAGCUGGUUAUUCGGGCAUUUGAGGUUCUCCGACUCGUGUCUUGUGGGGCAUGCCACCAGAUUUUCUGGUGAUUUUUGCAGCCAUGGUGAUGUUGGACUCUCUUUUUGCCUGAGCUUAACACAGAUCUGAGCCUAACUUUCUCUGUCAGUUUAGGGAAACUAACGGUUGGGAAAAUGAACAAAGCAAAAGGUCAAAAGUGAAAGAAUGAGGCUACAGAGAGUUGAUGAUUUUUCAUUGAAUGGAUGAUUGCUUCUCUCUGUAUUCAGCCAAUGAUUUCAUCUGACAUCGUCACCGGUGGCGUACUCUAACAUGCGCUGUAUAUGAUAAGCGGGCUUCCGUAAUUGAUGGUGGGGAGUUCUAAAAUGCUCAGGUGGUGUAACUUUUAUAGUUUUUCGAACUAGUUAAUACACGCGGAAAAGAAACUCGUCAAUACAAAAUAUAUUAUUGGAGGGAGUAUAUUAUUAACAGCUUGCUUAGAUUGUUGUUGUAUAUUGUCAAAGGGUUUCUAUGCCCUUCCACUCUUUUUUUUCUUUUUUUUUAAUGCUUCCGCUAGAGCAUUGAAUGUUGCCGGUGGAAGCGAUGAGGGUGAGUAUAAUCAGACGUCUUGAAAGAGGCGAUGAUGAUUUAUGUCAAUUUUAUUCCCUUUUGAGCUGAUUAAUUGGGCAUUUGACGUUUUCCGACCCGUAUCUUGGCGGGGCAUGCCACCAGAUUUUCUGGUGGUUUUUGCAGCCAUGGCGUGGUUAGACUCAUUUUUUGCCUGAGCUUAAGCACAGAUCUGAGCCUCGAUUUACUGGACUCCAUUACUGUAAGAAACCCUAUAACCCUUUUGUCAAUUUUAAUGGACGGAGUAUUCUAACAUCUUCAGGGUACUAUAUGAACCAAAGUUCUGGGAAAUGAAUAAAGCAAAAGCUCAGAAGGGAAAGAAUGAGGUACAGGGAUCUGAGGGUUUUUGUUCCAAGGGUGGUUUCCUCUCACCGAAUUAACCAAUGAUUUCUCUAUUACUGUCUCCUUCGUUUUUGUACCUGAUUUGUUGCACUUGAGCCGAGGGGCUUUCGGAAAUAAUUUUUGUGCCUUCAUGAGGUAGUGGUAAGGUCUGCGUACUUUCUACCCUCCCCAGACCUCACUUGUUGGAUUUUACUGGGUAUGUUGUUGUUGUUGUACUUCAUCACCUGAAGUUGUACUUUCUUUUGAAGGAUCUCGUGUCUCACAAGAUGGACUGUGCCGGGAAAAAGAUAUGUGCCAUCAAAAUACAUGCUUUCCCAGCAAGCUUUGGCUUUAAAGGAGAGGCUCUGAGCUCUAUUUUUGACAUUUCUUUGUUGGAAAUUGUUACUAAAACUCACAGGAGGCCAAGUGGAUAUUGUAAGGUUUUUAAGGUAAAGUUCUUUUGAGUAUUAGUUGGUUGUAUCCAUUAGGAUAUGUUCUUUGUUCUUGACAUUGUUUAUAGGACGGCAAGUGGUUGUACCUUGGAAUUGAUGAUUGUAGACAAAAUGUUGGUAUAACAGUUAGGAUGACCUGCUUUGAACACGUUCUUCUCCUUCUCUGUUGCCGCUAUUCUCCAGUUGGUUUUGGAUUCGUCUGAGUUCCCUUAACAAUUUGAAUGCAAGCGAUGGCUCAUUCAAGCUCUCAGGAUACAUCUCAGGUCCUGAUGUUUACACAGUGAAGGUCCUUCAAUAGUUCUGUGUCCACUUAUUUUAGUAUAUUUUCCUAACCAAAGAAAACGGAAAACUAAUCUUUGAUUAGCAUUUACUAUAUCGGAUGCUUGGUUUUUAUGGUUUUUUUUUCCUUGACCCUUGUAAUGCAGAUAUCAAUUCAAGAUUUCUUUCCAAAAGGGACCAAUUCAUACAUGACUUUCUUAAUAACAUAGCUAUGAUUUUGAUAGUGCUUCGGACAUUGAGAAGCGAAGUAGAUCUCAUAAAUAUCCACUGUUUUUGUUGAACCUAAACUGCCCAAGAUCUUUAUAUGAUUUGACUUUGGAGCCUUCAAAGACCUCUGUGGAACUUAAGGUCAAUCUGGGCCGUCUAAUUCAUUCUUCAGCUGUGGAGGUUGGAAACGGAGCUUUGACCUAUUAAAUAUGCUAACACUGUUGAUCUAUGGCAUCAUUCUAGAGACUCAAGAGCUUUCGAGUAUACUUUUUUUAUGUAUCCUUUGUUUUCAUAAGGAUUGGCGCCCUGUCCUUCUCUUUAUUGAGGAUACUGUCGCGAAUCUCUGGAAGUGACUCUGUCGAGGAUGAUUUCCUGCUAAACAUGAAGCUGUUGUCACGUAUAAUUUUGGAAACAUGGAACUUAAUGUCUUGGUCCCUGCCAUAAAUAAUUUGGAAAAAGAGAACUGCAAAGCUUAUCUCAAUUUUUAUGCUCUUUUAGAGAGGAUAUGGCCAGUGUAGGGGGAUUUGAUCCUCCAUGGGAUGUUGAUGGUUCAGGUCCUUCUGAUUUCUACUAUGAUGGAGAUGAUUUGACACACAUGCAUUAUCAUGGUGAAGAGAAUCUAAGAAUUAUUUGAUACCACGAGCUAUGCUCUACUCUAGGGUGGAUGGGGACUCACAUAAAUGGAUUGCUACUGGAAAUCGAUGUAAAAUAGAAGAGCUUAUAAGGAAGAUGAGUAG